RNAcentral lists this ribosomal RNA (376 nucleotides) under Panesthia cribrata. RNAcentral's name for it is "partial 16S ribosomal RNA". The record is from RNAcentral. Lineage: Eukaryota; Metazoa; Arthropoda; Insecta; Blattodea; Blaberidae.
CUCUUCUUGUGUUUAAAUAUGAAGUAUAACCUGCUCAAUGAAUAUUUAAAUGGCCGCGGUAUACUGACCGUGCAAAGGUAGCAUAAUCAUUAGUCUUUUAAUUGUAGGCUGGAAUGAAUGGUUGGACGAGAUAAAAUCUUUCUUAAAUUUAUUUGUUUGAAUUUAAUUAUUGUGUUAAAAAGCUCAAAUUUUUUUUUGGGACGAGAAGACCCUAUAGAGUUUUAUAAUUAAUAAUUAUUUUUAUUGUUUGGUAUAUUUUAAAUUGAAUUAAUUAUUUUGUUGGGGUGAUGUGAAGAUAUAAUUAACUCUUUAUAUUUAUUGUUUAUGAAUUAAUAUUUUUUUGAUCCAUUUUUAGUGAUUAAAAGACUAAAUUACC